Molecule: long non-coding RNA, 250 nt
Organism: Leptidea sinapis
Lineage: Eukaryota; Metazoa; Arthropoda; Insecta; Lepidoptera; Pieridae
Exons: 2
Source: RefSeq, a predicted model, not a curated record
GUCUUUCCUGCACUGCUACAGUGGGAAGGAGGAAAGUUGAUGUACAUACUGACUUAUGUCUAUCAGGCCUGUCUGGCCUUUAAAUACACUCCCCUUGCCUGGCGGGAAGUUAGGGUCAUCUUCAUACCCAAGCAAGGUGUCACGGACAGCCCUCUAUGCAGAGGUUGCCUGGGGGCAGAGGAAACAGCCGCUCACGUUCUGCUGGAAUGCAGUGAGGUGGCAAACUACAGGGCGAAGCACCUGGGGUCAC